AACGAACGCUGGCGGCAUGCCUAACACAUGCAAGUCGAACGAGACCUUCGGGUUUGGUGGCGCACGGGUGCGUAACGCGUGGGAACCUGCCCUUAGGUUCGGAAUAACUCCCCGAAAGGGGUGCUAAUACCGGAUAAUGUCUCCGGACCAAAGAUUUAUCGCCUUUGGAUGGGCCCGCGUUGGAUUAGCUAGUUGGUAGGGUAAAAGCCUACCAAGGCGACGAUCCAUAGCUGGUCUGAGAGGAUGAUCAGCCACACUGGGACUGAGACACGGCCCAGACUCCUACGGGAGGCAGCAGUGGGGAAUAUUGGACAAUGGGCGAAAGCCUGAUCCAGCAAUGCCGCGUGAGUGAUGAAGGCCUUAGGGUUGUAAAGCUCUUUUACCCGGGAUGAUAAUGACAGUACCGGGAGAAUAAGCUCCGGCUAACUCCGUG
This 433-nucleotide ribosomal RNA is filed under the name uncultured bacterium. RNAcentral describes it as "partial 16S ribosomal RNA". It matches the Rfam family "Bacterial small subunit ribosomal RNA", at positions 29 to 507 of the family's 1533-position model. The record is from RNAcentral.